GGGCUUCCCGAGGCGCGUGCGCCUCCCUAUAUUCGAGGUGUUCCGGGAAACCGGGGCUAUGGCGAUAAACGCGCGCGGAAUAAGCGGUUCGGACCCGGGGGCGGUACCCGGCGGCUCCACCAAACAUCCCCGGUCAUGGGCGGGGCGGAGGGGGCCGAAACAGGAUCGACGGACGUGUAAAGGCGUGGCUUUCGCUCGGUGAGGCACCACCGUUAUCGGUCCGAAAAGUACAGUUGCCAAUGACAACCGUGCUCCGGUGGCCGUCGCCGCGUAAUGCGGCUCCGACACCGAAACUCAAGUCCUGAGGCUUAGCCGCUUCAGGCGGGGCCGCCGGCGCCUGGCAACAGAAGCCGGCACU
RNAcentral lists this transfer-messenger RNA (358 nucleotides) under Paracoccaceae bacterium. RNAcentral describes it as "Rhodobacteraceae bacterium transfer-messenger RNA". It matches the Rfam family "Alphaproteobacteria transfer-messenger RNA". From Rfam's summary of the family: Bacterial tmRNA, also known as 10Sa RNA or SsrA, is named for its dual tRNA and mRNA-like properties. The record is from RNAcentral. Lineage: Bacteria; Pseudomonadati; Pseudomonadota; Alphaproteobacteria; Rhodobacterales; Paracoccaceae.